UCCCUGGUGGUCCAGUGGUUAGGACUCCAUGCUUUCACUGCUGAGGUUCUGAGGGCCCAGGUUCAAUCCCUGGCCAGGGAA
Molecule: transfer RNA, 81 nt
Filed under: Tursiops truncatus (common bottlenose dolphin)
Lineage: Eukaryota; Metazoa; Chordata; Mammalia; Artiodactyla; Delphinidae
Also listed under: 1 other name
Description: tRNA-Und (NNN) (tRNA-Und-NNN-1-1)
Rfam family: tRNA
About the family: Transfer RNA (tRNA) molecules are approximately 80 nucleotides in length. Their secondary structure includes four short double-helical elements and three loops (D, anti-codon, and T loops).
Source: Rfam by way of RNAcentral